AUGAACCAAGGAAAGCAUCAUGAAUCUGCAAGAGAACAGAGAGGCCCAGAGGAGACGUCCUGCCCAGGAGAGCAGCACAGAUUCCCCAGAGAUGGAAGAGAUCUUGAAAAACCAACUAAUUCAUCCCUCUGUCCCCAAGCUUUACUGUGUUCAGAUUGGUCCAAGCCAAGACAGUCCUGCCCUGAAGAUUUGGAAAACAUAUAAGGAUGCUUGGUAGUGGAGGGCAAGUCUACAAUUUAAUUCAAUAAAUUUACUAAGUAUCUGCUUCA
This 269-nucleotide long non-coding RNA is filed under the name Monodelphis domestica (gray short-tailed opossum). RNAcentral's name for it is "lncRNA (ENSMODG00000042811.1)". Lineage: Eukaryota; Metazoa; Chordata; Mammalia; Didelphimorphia; Didelphidae. The record is from RNAcentral.